This 730-nucleotide ribosomal RNA is filed under the name uncultured bacterium. RNAcentral describes it as "bacterial SSU rRNA". It matches the Rfam family "Bacterial small subunit ribosomal RNA", at positions 771 to 1501 of the family's 1533-position model. The record is from RNAcentral.
AACAGGAUUAGAUACCCUGGUAGUCCACGCCGUAAACGAUGUCGACUUGGAGGUUGUUCCCUUGAGGAGUGGCUUCCGGAGCUAACGCGUUAAGUCGACCGCCUGGGGAGUACGGCCGCAAGGUUAAAACUCAAAUGAAUUGACGGGGGCCCGCACAAGCGGUGGAGCAUGUGGUUUAAUUCGAUGCAACGCGAAGAACCUUACCUACUCUUGACAUCCACGGAAUUCGGCAGAGAUGCCUUAGUGCCUUCGGGAACCGUGAGACAGGUGCUGCAUGGCUGUCGUCAGCUCGUGUUGUGAAAUGUUGGGUUAAGUCCCGCAACGAGCGCAACCCUUAUCCUUUGUUGCCAGCGAUUCAGUCGGGAACUCAAAGGAGACUGCCGGUGAUAAACCGGAGGAAGGUGGGGAUGACGUCAAGUCAUCAUGGCCCUUACGAGUAGGGCUACACACGUGCUACAAUGGCGCAUACAAAGAGAAGCGACCUCGCGAGAGCAAGCGGACCUCAUAAAGUGCGUCGUAGUCCGGAUCGGAGUCUGCAACUCGACUCCGUGAAGUCGGAAUCGCUAGUAAUCGUGGAUCAGAAUGCCACGGUGAAUACGUUCCCGGGCCUUGUACACACCGCCCGUCACACCAUGGGAGUGGGUUGCAAAAGAAGUAGGUAGCUUAACCUUCGGGAGGGCGCUUACCACUUUGUGAUUCAUGACUGGGGUGAAGUCGUAACAAGGUAACC